This 900-nucleotide ribosomal RNA is filed under the name uncultured bacterium. RNAcentral describes it as "bacterial SSU rRNA". It matches the Rfam family "Bacterial small subunit ribosomal RNA", at positions 28 to 917 of the family's 1533-position model. The record is from RNAcentral.
AACGAACGCUGGCGGCACGCCUCAUACAUGCAAGUCGAGCGCGAAACCACCUUCGGGUGAUGUAGAGCGGCGAACGGGUGAGUAACAGGUGGAUAAUCUGCCCCUUGGCGGGGGACAACAGCUGGAAACGGCUGCUAAUACCGCAUGUGAUUGUGAGCUCAUGGCUUGCAAGGAAAGGCGCCUCAAAGCGCCACCAAAGGAUGAGUCCGCCCCCCAUUAGCUAGUUGGUGAGAUAACAGCUCACCAAGGCUUCGAUGGGUAGCCGAGCUGAGAGGUUGAUCGGCCACACUGGAACUGAGACACGGUCCAGACACCUACGGGUGGCAGCAGUAGGGAAUAUUGCGCAAUGGGCGAAAGCCUGACGCAGCGAUGCCGCGUGAGUGACGAAGGUCUUAGGAUUGUAAAGCUCUUUUCUGAGGGAAGAAUAGGUCUGCGAGGAAAUGCGCGGAUUCUGACGGUACCUCAGGAAUAAGGAGCGGCUAACUCCGUGCCAGCAGCCGCGGUAAUACGGAGGUUCCAAGCGUUGUUCGGAAUUACUGGGCGUAAAGGGAGCGCAGGCGGACAGGUCAGUUUAAAGUGGAAUCCCAGGGCUCAACCCUGGACGUGCUUUGGAUACUGCCUGUCUUGAGUUCGUGAGAGGAAAGUGGAAUUCAGGGUGUAGCGGUGAAAUGCUUAGAUAUCCUGAGGAACACCAGUGGCGAAAGCGACUUUCUGGCACGAAACUGACGCUGAGGCUCGAAAGCAUGGGUAGCGAACGGGAUUAGAUACCCCGGUAGUCCAUGCCGUAAACGUUGUAUACUAGGUGCGGGAGGUAUCGACCCCUUCCGUGCCGAAGCUAACGCAUUAAGUAUACCGCCUGGGGAGUACGCGCGCAAGCGUGAAACUCAAGGAAUUGACGGG